UGUGUUAAAUAUAGAUUUAAUAAAAUACAAAUAUGUUUGCAAUGUAUUGACUAUACCGCAGCAUUAUCUAUUUACUGCAUGUUCUAUUAUUGAAUUCAUUAUUCAUGUAUCUACAAUCACCAUCUUUGUUACAUUUAGUUCCAAGUACGAAGUCCUCAAGAUCUGAAACUUCGUAUUUCAUUGAGAGACAAUAAAAAUCGUUUGUUUGAUAAAUUUACGUCACUUGAAAUGAUUUGGACAAGCAGCAGCUAUGAUAUGGCUUCAUAUUGUUGCUUAAACAAACAUCUUUCUCCAAGUAUACACGCCAUACAUACGAGACCAUUAUGUCCGGAACGUAAAGCAAGAAGUUCUGUGUUUAAACAAGAUAAUGGUACAGCACGAACAAUAGGUCUGUGACCAAAAUGCGAGACGUGUUAAGAAGAUAAUGACAGACGUUACAUCAAAUAUUACGGUUGAUUGAGCAAUCCACUCUUCCCUCUCCAAUAGAUUUGUUUGUGCUUAGCUUGAACUGUUUCAUGAAAGAACAAGUGCACUUAUGAUAAACGUAUGGAACGGAUCGUACACACAGGAAUGAUACUUUCAGCAAUAACUGUUGAAACAACUUUCCAAGUCUGAAUCGUGCUUACCGUUUUAUGGAUUUUUUUAUCAUCAGGCUGUAAACCUUUCUUGUUAAAAUUAUCCUUCAGUGUUUUGUAGGUUUCGUGCACUGUUUGAUUAGUUUUGUAUCUUUUCUAACCGCAUGUAGAAGUUUCGUGUCGAAUUUUUGUGAAACUGAUUUGAUAUUUUGAAACUGAUAAA
This is a long non-coding RNA of Xenia sp. Carnegie-2017, 798 nucleotides long. RefSeq lists it as uncharacterized. NCBI's taxonomy places the organism in Eukaryota, Metazoa, Cnidaria, Anthozoa, Malacalcyonacea, Xeniidae. The record is from RefSeq and is a predicted model, not a curated record. The transcript has 4 exons.